RNAcentral lists this ribosomal RNA (498 nucleotides) under uncultured Comamonadaceae bacterium. RNAcentral's name for it is "bacterial SSU rRNA". It matches the Rfam family "Bacterial small subunit ribosomal RNA", at positions 917 to 1419 of the family's 1533-position model. The record is from RNAcentral. Lineage: Bacteria; Pseudomonadati; Pseudomonadota; Betaproteobacteria; Burkholderiales; Comamonadaceae.
GGACCCGCACAAGCGGUGGAUGAUGUGGUUUAAUUCGAUGCAACGCGAAAAACCUUACCCACCUUUGACAUGUACGGAAUCCUUUAGAGAUAGAGGAGUGCUCGAAAGAGAGCCGUAACACAGGUGCUGCAUGGCUGUCGUCAGCUCGUGUCGUGAGAUGUUGGGUUAAGUCCCGCAACGAGCGCAACCCUUGCCAUUAGUUGCUACGAAAGGGCACUCUAAUGGGACUGCCGGUGACAAACCGGAGGAAGGUGGGGAUGACGUCAAGUCCUCAUGGCCCUUAUAGGUGGGGCUACACACGUCAUACAAUGGCUGGUACAGAGGGUUGCCAACCCGCGAGGGGGAGCCAAUCCCAUAAAGCCAGUCGUAGUCCGGAUCGCAGUCUGCAACUCGACUGCGUGAAGUCGGAAUCGCUAGUAAUCGCGGAUCAGAAUGUCGCGGUGAAUACGUUCCCGGGUCUUGUACACACCGCCCGUCACACCAUGGGAGCGGGUUCUG